RNAcentral lists this ribosomal RNA (777 nucleotides) under uncultured Acidobacteriota bacterium. Its description in RNAcentral is "bacterial SSU rRNA". It matches the Rfam family "Bacterial small subunit ribosomal RNA", at positions 87 to 896 of the family's 1533-position model. Lineage: Bacteria; Pseudomonadati; Acidobacteriota. The record is from RNAcentral.
UGAGUAAAGUGGCGCACGGGUGAGUAACACGUGANNACCUACCCUUGAGUGGGGAAUAACCUCGGGAAACCGGGGCUAAUACCGCAUAACACCUUCGGGUCAAAGGAGCAAUUCGCUUAAGGAGGGGGUCGCGGCUGAUUAGCUAGUUGGUGGGGUAAUGGCCUACCAAGGCAAUGAUCAGUAUCCGGCCUGAGAGGGCGCACGGACACACUGGAACUGAAACACGGUCCAGACUCCUACGGGAGGCAGCAGUGGGGAAUUUUGCACAAUGGGGGAAACCCUGAUGCAGCAACGCCGCGUGGAGGAUGAAGUCCCUUGGGAUGUAAACUCCUUUCGACCGGGACGAUUAUGACGGUACCGGUGGAAGAAGCCCCGGCUAACUCUGUGCCAGCAGCCGCGGUAAUACAGAGGGGGCAAGCGUUGUUCGGAAUUAUUGGGCGUAAAGGGUGCGUAGGCGGUGCGGUAAGUCUUCUGUGAAAUCUCCGGGCUCAACUCGGAGCCUGCAGGAGAAACUGCCGUGCUUGAGUAUGGGAGAGGUGAGUGGAAUUCCUGGUGUAGCGGUGAAAUGCGUAGAUAUCAGGAGGAACACCUGUGGCGAAAGCGGCUCACUGGACCAUAACUGACGCUGAGGCACGAAAGCUAGGGGAGCAAACAGGAUUAGAUACCCUGGUAGUCCUAGCCCUAAACGAUGAUUGCUUGGUGUAGCAGGUACCCAAUCCUGCUGUGCCGCAGCUAACGCGUUAAGCAAUCCGCCUGGGGAGUACGGUCGCAAGGCUG